AUUUAAGUAGUUUAAUUAAAACAGUAAUUUGUGGAAUUAAAAAUAUACUUUAAAUAAUUAUCUUAAAUU
Molecule: transfer RNA, 69 nt
Filed under: Pheidole megacephala
Lineage: Eukaryota; Metazoa; Arthropoda; Insecta; Hymenoptera; Formicidae
Description: tRNA-His
Source: RNAcentral